GACGAACGUUGGCGGCGUGCUUAAUACAUGCAAGUCAACUGAAGCAGUGGUAGCAAUAUCGCCGUGGAGGUGGCGCACGGGUGAGUAACACGUAGGUAAUCUGCCUUCAGGUCUGGCAUAACUCCGGGAAACCGGGGCUAAUAGCAGAUGAUGCAGCGGCUCGACAUCGAGACAGUUGUUAAAGCUAUGGCGCCUGAAGAUGAGCCUGCGUCUGAUUAGCUAGUUGGCGGGGUAACGGCCCACCAAGGCAACGAUCAGUAGCUGGUCUGAGAGGAUGAUCAGCCACACUGGAACUUAGACACGGUCCAGACUCCUACGGGAGGCAGCAGUAAGGAAUAUUGCUCAAUGGGAGAAAUCCUGAAGCAGCAACGCAGCGUGAGGGACGAAGGGCUUUUGCUUGUAAACCUCUGUAGUGAGAGAAAAAAAUCCCAAUCUUUGGGACAUGAUGGUAUCUCAAAAGUAAGCCCCGGCUAACUACGUG
This 481-nucleotide ribosomal RNA is filed under the name uncultured bacterium. Its description in RNAcentral is "partial 16S ribosomal RNA". It matches the Rfam family "Bacterial small subunit ribosomal RNA", at positions 28 to 507 of the family's 1533-position model. The record is from RNAcentral.